CCGAUGAGGUGGAAACGGACAGAGCUGGCGUAUCUGGCCUGCAUUCAGCCGCCGCGCGUCGGGCCCCGGUUUGCCGCACUCCAGAUUGGGAAGGUGGCUGGGCUGCUGGCGUGCUGGUGGUGCAUUUGCAGGUGGAGUGCGCUGAGGCGCUCGGCUCAGCGGCAUGAGCUCGGCUUUGAGGCCAACGUGCAAGCGGUCUGGUACCCGGGUCGGGGGAGUGUUGUUUGGGCUGAGUGUUCGCUUGGGCACUGGUUUCGGGCCCGGGUGGGUGCCGAGCUGGCGGUCGACGGCGGUCGCAUGCGACACGUGUCAGCAGUCAGUUCGGUCCUGCUCGAGCUCUCAUGUGUCCGGCCUCGGUGUAAAAGCCGGUCAUCUGUCCGACCCGUCUUGAAACACGGACCAAGGAGUUUAGCGUGUGCGCGAGUCAUUGGGCGUUGAAAACCCAAAGGCGCAAUGAAAGUGAAGGUCUGCCUUGUGCAGCUGAUGUGUGAUCCUGGGCGCUGCGGUGCCCGGGCGCAACAUAGUCCCGUCCCGACUGCAUGCAGUGGGGCGGAGACAGAGCGUACGCGCUGAG
This 574-nucleotide ribosomal RNA is filed under the name Helicotylenchus platyurus. Its description in RNAcentral is "eukaryotic LSU rRNA". It matches the Rfam family "Eukaryotic large subunit ribosomal RNA", at positions 405 to 813 of the family's 3401-position model. Lineage: Eukaryota; Metazoa; Nematoda; Chromadorea; Rhabditida; Hoplolaimidae. The record is from RNAcentral.